AGAGGAAACUUUCGUUUCGUGUUGGGAACGGAACAUGGGAUCGGUUACUGCCGGACUUCAUCCCAUUCCCGGAAGCGCACGUGCAAACACCAUCUCCGAAGGCCUUUAUGCGUAAUAUUUUAUACCAAAAAAACAUAGACUCUGUUGUGGUACUUAUUAUUGCAAUCUUUUAUUGUCAUCACGUGCUCCCCACUUCCCUGCGCGAUUGGGGGAUAUCCCGAGGCUAUU
RNAcentral lists this long non-coding RNA (228 nucleotides) under Elaeis guineensis (African oil palm). RNAcentral's name for it is "long non-coding RNA (EGUI_LNC026464)". The record is from RNAcentral. Lineage: Eukaryota; Viridiplantae; Streptophyta; Magnoliopsida; Arecales; Arecaceae.